Non-coding RNA from Phrynosoma platyrhinos (Desert horned lizard), 72 nucleotides. The record is from the annotation of a GenBank genome assembly. NCBI's taxonomy places the organism in Eukaryota, Metazoa, Chordata, Lepidosauria, Squamata, Phrynosomatidae.
GCCAGCGUGGCAAAGUGGUUCAGGAGCUGGAUUAGGGCUCUAGAGGCCAGGGUUCGAAUCCCAGCUCGGCCU